This 402-nucleotide ribosomal RNA is filed under the name uncultured bacterium. RNAcentral's name for it is "partial 16S ribosomal RNA". It matches the Rfam family "Bacterial small subunit ribosomal RNA", at positions 29 to 525 of the family's 1533-position model. The record is from RNAcentral.
AUUGAACGCUGGCGGCAGGCCUAACACAUGCAAGUCGAGCGAGCGGCGGACGGGUGAGUAAUGUAUGGGGACUGCCCGAUAGAGGGGGAUAACUACUGGAAACGGUGGCUAAUACCGCAUACUAUCGGAUAACCCAUAUGGGAUUAGCUAGUAGGUGGGGUAAAGGCUCACCUAGGCGCCGAUCUCUAGCUGGUCUGAGAGGAUGACAAGCCAAACUGGGACUGAGAAAGGGCCCAGACUCCUACGGAGGAAGCGGUGGGAAAUGUUGCACAAGGGGUGCAGGCCUGAUGCAGCCUGGCGGGGGGUAUGAAGAGGGCCUUAGGGUUGUAAAGUACUUUAGGGGGGGAGGCGUUACCCGCAGAAAAAGAACCGGCUAACUCCGUGCAAGCAGCCGCGGUAAAC